UUAAGACCAGGAGCGUAUCGCC
Molecule: non-coding RNA, 22 nt
Filed under: Arabidopsis thaliana (thale cress)
Lineage: Eukaryota; Viridiplantae; Streptophyta; Magnoliopsida; Brassicales; Brassicaceae
Source: RNAcentral